CUCAAACUCCGUUUUUUGCCUUUUGGUGUGACCAGAUGCCUGGAGGGUGUGGAGAUGGGUAUUUCCCUUUCCUCAGGUAGAUUAGGCUCCGGUAAAACUUCAGAGGUGAGAUUCUGCCUGAAUAAUUUCUCCUAAGGACAGAUCUUGUUAACAAGAACGGAAUGCUCUGGUAUAUUUCAAGAUGGUUCUUCUCUCCUCCUACCCCAUGUCCCCUUUGACUAGAAGCAAGAUGGGUUUUUUAACUCUGAUAUUCACUGUGAGAUAAAGCUCCUGGAGGUGAAACUUACAAAAAAAGUGGGGUCACUGUGACUGGGUCCACCGGAAGAUUUUAACUCUCAAGAAUUGCCUACACUGAGCUUCAAGCAAUUUGUCAAUUACAGUUCAGGUUUUCCUACCCAGCACUGGUUCCGGAGGAGGUUGCAAGUUGUCUGAGUUUCUGCUCUAAUGUGGCAUCUUAUUUUCUUCAGCAUCCACCUGUCUAUCUUGAUUUGUCCAGGCUUUCCUAAUGCAUUAGUGCUUCAGUCCGUUCUCCAGGUUGAGAUAGCAAUCCCUCAUAUCACUUUGGAAUAAGUUGCUUUGUACGUUUCAUGAAGAAAGAAGCUCUGCUUGUCUCAUUUAUUGCUGCAUCUUCCUUGCAGUGCAAUUUGAGGAAAACAAGAAGGCAGAUGUUUUGCCAUUGAGCCAGAAUUAAGAAUGUUGAACCUGAUGCCUAGACUCAGCAUUACUAAGCAAAUUUUGUGACAUAUAUGCUCCAGAUGUGGAUCUGUGGUCAUUCCUCACCUCUGUCUCGUAGCAGUUGUGUCAAUUUGAUCUCAUCCUUCACCAUCCUAAAUCUCAGUUUACUUGCCUCUAAAAUGGAAAUGUACAACUUUGCAUACCUAUCACACACUAUCACCCCAGUGCCACAGGAGAAAUAAGCUAUUUUUGCUCAACUUUUUAUCUGCUUGACCCUCGACCCUGGCCAUUAUGUCUUGGUAAACUGCUUGGCAUUUUUCAACCCAUCUCAGAGUUUUCCCUUUGGAAACAUUUUUAGGCCCUAUUUGGCAGAAGUUGUUGCUCCUGUGUAUAUAAUACCAUAACCACUGUAACAGAAUGGGGAGGUAGAAUUGGAUAUUAACACAUCUUUGGAGAGCUUGUUGUGUGCUAGGUAUUGUGCAAAUGAUAUUCACACAUUUUCUCAAUUAAUACCAAAACUUUAAGUAGGUGAUGAUAUCUCCUAUUAUCCAAAUGAGAAAAUAGCCUCUGGUGGUUAAAGUGAUAGAGCUAGUGAUCAGGAGAGUUCACAUUACUCUUUAUUUCAGACGCCAGAGACUAUUCUCUUUACACUAAAUAGCAUUCAGUGUGUUGCUUCAUUCUUUUUUUACUCCAAAUUAAAUAUCCUUCUUGAUUUUUUUUAAGAUUUCAUAUAUAUGGCAUUCCUUUUUAAAUAGCUCAACUGAGAUAUAAUUUAUGUAACAUACAAUUCUCUAAAGUAUGCAUUUAAAGGUUUUUAUUACAUAUACAGAUAUGUGAAAAAUAACUACAGUCAUUUAAAGAACAUUUUCAUCAAGUCAAAAAGAACUUUUUAGCUAUCACCUUUUAGUUAUCAAUCUUCUCCCAGACUGAUAUGGUUUGGCUGUAUCGCCACCCAAAAUCUCAUCUUGAAUUGUAAUAAUUCCCAUGUGUCAAGGGCAGGACCAGGUGGAGAUAAUUGAAUCAUGGGGGUGGUUUCCAGUUUCCCCAUACUAUUCUCAUGAUAGUGAGUGAGUUCUCAUGAAAUCUGAUAGUUUAAUAGGGACUUUCCCUCCACUUCACUCUCAUUCUUCUCCUUGCUGCCACCUUGUGAAGGACGUGUUUGCUUCCCCUUCUCCCGUGGCUGUGUUUCCUGAGGCCUUCCCAGCCAUGCUGAACUGUGAGUCAAUUAAACUUCUUUCCUUUAUAAAUCACCCAGCCUUCGGUAUGUCUUUAUUAGCAGGAUGAAAACGGACUACUACACAGAUCUGAGUAACCACUAAUCAAUUUUUUAUGUUUGUAGAUUUCCCUCUUCUGGAAAUUCAUAUGAAUGAAAUUAUAUAAUAGAUUAUAUCAUAUGUGGACUUUUCUGACUGGCUUCUUUUACUUAGCAUAAUGUUUUCAGGGUUCAUCCAAGUUGCAGCACGUGUAAGUACUCCAUUCCUUUCAAUGCCUGAAUACGACUUCAUUUUACUGAUGUACCUCAUUUUGUUUACACAUUCAUCAGUUGAUGGGCAUCUGGCCUCUUUCUAGCUUUUGGUUAUUAUGAAUAAUGCUCCUAUAAACAUUAAUAUGCAAGUUUUUGUGUAUACAUAUGUUUUCAUUUCUUUUUGGUAUAUACCUAGGAAUUAAACUGUUGGGUCAUAAGGUAACUUUGUUUAGUCAUUUGAAGAACUCCCAGACUAUUUUCUAGUGUAUGCACCAUUUUACAUUCCCCCCAGCAGUUCUGAUUUCUCCACAUUGUUGCCAACACUUGUUAUUAUCUGACUUUUUAAUCCUAGCCAUCCUAAUGGGUUUGAAAAGUUACCUCAUUGUGGUUUUAAUUUUCAUUUCCCUGAUGACUAAUGAUGUUGAAGUUCUUUUCUUGUGCUUAUUGACCAUUCAUACAUCUACUUGGAGAAAUGUUUAUUCAUAUUCUUUAUCCAGUUUUAAGUUGGAUUAUUUGUCCUUUCAUUUUUCUUGAUAAUUAUUUUAAAUCAGAAAAUUUUUUAAUUUUUAUUGUUAAAGUAUUCAUCUCUUUGGCUCUACACUUUCCUCUUUCCCUAUAUUGAUAAAAGAAACUCAUGAAGUUCAGUGCUGGCACAUUACUGACAAGUGGAUUCUCAUAAAGUUUCUUUGUAUAAUUUUAUAUAUUUUUUACAAUUUUAUUAAACUGAACUAGACAAAUUUUCAUGGUUGCUGGGAGGAUCCUGUAGGAUAAUUUAGGUCAAUGAGGUUUGGGGCAACUAAAGUGCUAUGCAAACACCUAGGGCCACAUGUUAUCUUCUAAGUUCACCGGAAUAAAGAGGAUUUCCAAGGGUCUGAGGUGAUGCAUGAAGAGGGCUUUCAUUUUUUAAUUUUAAUUUUGUCGCUUUGCUAGAAGUUUUAUUAUGAAAUAGUGUUGAAUAAUAUCAGUCUGUUUCUGCAUCUAUGAAGAUGGUUCUAUUUAUUUCUCCUUUAAUCUGUUAAUGUGGUGAAUUCAACUGAUUGCUUUUCUUUUUUUAUUAUUAUUAUAAUAAGUUUUAGGGUACAUGUGCACAAUGUGCAGGUUAGUUACAUAUGUAUACAUGUGCCAUGCUGGUGUGCUGCACCUAUUAACUCAUCAUUUAGCAUUAGGUAUAUCUCCUUAUGCUAUCCCUCUCUCCUCCCCCCACUCCACAACAGUCCCCAGAGUGUGAUGUUCCCCUUCCUGUGUCCAUGUGUUCUCAUUGUUCAAUUCCCACCUAUGAGUGAGAACAU
Molecule: long non-coding RNA, 3429 nt
Filed under: Homo sapiens (human)
Lineage: Eukaryota; Metazoa; Chordata; Mammalia; Primates; Hominidae
Description: HSALNT0052916
Source: RNAcentral